GCUGGGUGUGGUGGUGCAUGCCUGUAACCCCAGCAGCUUCGGAAGCUGAGACAGGAGGAUUGCAUGUUCAAUGCCAGCCUCAGCAAUGGUGAGGCACUGAAUAACUCAGUGAGACCCUUUCUCUA
This 125-nucleotide small RNA is filed under the name Marmota monax (woodchuck). Lineage: Eukaryota; Metazoa; Chordata; Mammalia; Rodentia; Sciuridae. The record is from RNAcentral.